GCUGGCGGCAGGCUUAACACAUGCAAGUCGAGCGGGCGUAGCAAUACGUCAGCGGCAGACGGGUGAGUAACGCGUGGGAACAUACCUUUUGGUUCGGAACAACACAGGGAAACUUGUGCUAAUACCGGAUAAGCCCUUACGGGGAAAGAUUUAUCGCCGAAAGAUUGGCCCGCGUCUGAUUAGCUAGUUGGUGAGGUAAUGGCUCACCAAGGCGACGAUCAGUAGCUGGUCUGAGAGGAUGAUCAGCCACAUUGGGACUGAGACACGGCCCAAACUCCUACGGGAGGCAGCAGUGGGGAAUAUUGGACAAUGGGCGCAAGCCUGAUCCAGCCAUGCCGCGUGAGUGAUGAAGGCCCUAGGGUUGUAAAGCUCUUUUGUGCGGGAAGAUAAUGACGGUACCGCAAGAAUAAGCCCCGGCUAACUUCGUGCCAGCAGCCGCGGUAAUACGAAGGGGGCUAGCGUUGCUCGGAAUCACUGGGCGUAAAGGGUGCGUAGGCGGGUCUUUAAGUCAGGGGUGAAAUCCUGGAGCUCAACUCCAGAACUGCCUUUGAUACUGAGGAUCUUGAGUUCGGGAGAGGUGAGUGGAACUGCGAGUGUAGAGGUGAAAUUCGUAGAUAUUCGCAAGAACACCAGUGGCGAAGGCGGCUCACUGGCCCGAUACUGACGCUGAGGCACGAAAGCGUGGGGAGCAAACAGGAUUAGAUACCCUGGUAGUCCACGCCGUAAACGAUGAC
RNAcentral lists this ribosomal RNA (734 nucleotides) under uncultured earthworm cast bacterium. RNAcentral's name for it is "bacterial SSU rRNA". It matches the Rfam family "Bacterial small subunit ribosomal RNA", at positions 35 to 813 of the family's 1533-position model. The record is from RNAcentral.